RNAcentral lists this long non-coding RNA (1792 nucleotides) under Carica papaya (papaya). RNAcentral describes it as "long non-coding RNA (CPAP_LNC004979)". The record is from RNAcentral. Lineage: Eukaryota; Viridiplantae; Streptophyta; Magnoliopsida; Brassicales; Caricaceae.
UCCUGCGUUGGUUAGUCGCAGAAAGAUCAGUGCACGAAUCACAAUAGAGAAGAAACACCAUAGCAUGCAAUCAUAAGAUACAAACAGGUUAUGUAACUUUGUGCUUCAGAUUUUUUUGCCCGGUUAAAAGUUGAAAAAGUUGAAUAUGGUCACGUCAGGUUGUUUUUGAGUUGCAUAUUUUCAAGGUUCAUUGCUUAGAUGGUGCUCGGGCAUGCAACUAGUCAGCUAAGAAUUAAAAGGAAGCGAUAUAAACGAGUCGAGAACACCUUAGGCUUGUAAAGGAAGCAGAAUUUUAAUUGCAGAGUUAUGAAACAUGCAAGGGCAUAAUGGAUGGAACAAAAAUAAUAUAUGAACUGAGAUAUAUGGCAGUUACUGACUGUUUAAAUGAAAUCAAAAUAGCUCAAUUUUAUUCCGAUUGUUUGAAUGCUAAAAAGGAAGAAUGCAGAAACAUUAUUUAGUUUCUCUUCUACUUUAUGACCCCCCAACACACUCUUUCACCAUGAUGUUCUUCGAUUAUAUUAUUUGCUAUCUACAUAUGCGCUAUAAUGUUCCUAUAGGCGCCAUAACCAUUGGCAUACCCUACUUUAUGUCUGACGCAUUAUUUGGAUCCCAUUUCUUAUAAAUCCAAGUGCACCUUUUGGUUUAGUAGUUACAAAAGGUUCAAACUUCAAGGUGCAUUCUCAGAAGAAGCCUAUAAAGUACAGGGGGCGUGAGACGGUGCAAUUUUAACGGACUGCACAUCUACGAGUUAAAAUUUGGUAAUAGAAUUAAAAUGACCAGAUUAAAACCUGAGGGGGAAACCGGCGGAUGCUCUCAACCAAGUAUUGAUAGGAUUCCCGAUCACCUGCAACUAAUUCUCCCAUAGCAGGAAUAACUGAGAAAGAAUAAUAAUCAUACCUGCAUGAGAGAGAAAAAGAAUGUCUCUAAAUUUAGGGAUGCAAGAAAAAUAUACAAGAGAAAGACAAUAAUAAAAGUGAGUUCGACCAAGAAAAUCCAGGGACUUUUUCAAUUUCUGUUAUCCACCAAAACCAGUAGAGCAAAGCUUCUUCACCAACAUAGAUGAUCAACUGUCAACUAGUGUUUGCAAUAUUUCUCAUAUAAGAUAAAAAGAAAAAUUCCUUGUAUCUGCAAUCUAUUUGUUUGGAAAGUGUGAUCUCUGAACGGAAAGUUGGUCAACAGGGCUGGAACUAUGUAAGAACAAAUGAGCUACAAUUACAUUUAAACUAACAGGCAAGCCUGUCAGUCAUUCCAAGUCCAGUUGAAUAGAGGUCAGAGCAAUUUAAAGGUUUCCAAAGUCAUUGGUUCGAGCAAAUAUCUCUGCCAUAACUUUUGCUGAGCUGGCAAGUUAUCAAAUUGUGAAAAAAAAAAGACCAAAACCUGACACCGAGAAGUAAGGAUAUUGGUUACAAUAAUACUAACGAAUUUAACCAAAAAAUGAGAGAAAAUCAAUAAGCAGUAAGUUGCAUGAGUCCACAUAAUGAAAUCAAUUUUCCCUGGCAAAACAUAUCGAAUACUCACAAUUCCUUGAAGACAGGUAAUUCCACAUGGCUGAGCUCAAGGCAAAGGAACCUUCCUCCAUGCUUUAACACCCUAAGGAAAAGGAAGAUUUUUUAGGAAAAGAAGAAGAAAAAGCACAGCUGUUUGCUACCAACUGAAGUUGCUGCCCAAAUAUAAAUACCAUUAGUGAGACACAAUUCCUCAGGCAUUCUACUUAACAAAUGUCAUUGCUAUUGGUAACUUCUUUAUAAGAAAAACUGAAUGUACUGGAUUUGACAGUGAACUGAAUCCCUAU